Molecule: long non-coding RNA, 1170 nt
Filed under: Jatropha curcas
Lineage: Eukaryota; Viridiplantae; Streptophyta; Magnoliopsida; Malpighiales; Euphorbiaceae
Description: long non-coding RNA (JCUR_LNC001973)
Source: RNAcentral
AACUAACCAAUCCCUUGAAAAAUUAACUUACAAUUUCAUAUGUACCAUAUCAAGCGACAAUUUAAAGGAAUAAUUAACAGUAGUUGCUGCCGUUGCAAGGGAGUUCUCAUUUUUAUUCCAUCUUGAUCAUAGCACCCUUAUAUUAACAAUAAUUAUGAAUAACAUAUUUCUAUUACCGAAUACGAACUUAAUUCAGUAGAAACGAUGAUCUUUUCUAACUAGAGGCUACCACCGUCAACUCAAAUCCAUUUCAAGACUAACAUUACUUUAUUCAUACCAAAAUACUCAUCAAAACAUGUUUUAAUUACAGCUAGAAAGAAGUUAAUUCAAUCCUUCCUAAAACAAUUAUAUAAACAGUAAUGUAUAAAGCUCAUUCGAUGCUAAUACAAUUUAUUCACCCAAAUCCUAUAAUCUAAAUCAAAGAAUUCAUGAAAUAAGACUAAACGAAUUGAAAUAUUAUUUACCUAACUAUAAAACAAGUUGCAAAUAGAAUUUUCCGGUUAAAAAUGGCCAGCGGAAGCUCUAACGCUCGAAAUCUAGUUCUGCCAGCGCUAGUAUAGCCAGAAUGUAUGAGAACAGUGGUCGAAAUACGCCGGUGAGGAGUUGACGACGAAAGAGAAGCCGAUUUCGCCGGCUGAUGACAGGUCUUGCCGGAAAAUCGAGAAAAAGAGUGCUAAUGGCGCUACUCCCCGAUCGGAAAACAAUGCAACUCUUCGCAUUAGCUGCGCUGAUUGGAAACAAAGGGAGAGAGAGGCCGGGGCAUAGUCGUCAACGAGAGAGAGAUUGGAGUCGCCGGAAAGUCGAGAGCAAGAGAUGCUAUUUCCCGAUUGAGCGAAAUCGCAGGUCGCCUGCACUGGCUGCGCAGGCCUGAGAUAACAGAGGAGAGGGAGAGAGAGGGAGCGGCGGCGGCGGUAGGAGGCGGGGGCAGAGUCAGCAUUGGUCUCAGGCUGUCGAAAAACGAAAAGGGGAGGGGGAGGGGGAUGGACUGUGGCACGAUCGGAAGAGAAAGGAGAACGGGGAUGGGGAUUUUUUUUUGGUAUUUUUAGGUUUCUAGAAUUUUCUUAUUGGUUGAUGGGGUUUGGGUCGAUUUUGGUCUGGUUUGGCUCAAAUCAUGGUUUUACCUUGGUUUUUCAAUUGAUUUGUAGGUUUUUCAAAGGGUUUAGUUUAAUU